This 186-nucleotide non-coding RNA is filed under the name Ovis aries (sheep). Its description in RNAcentral is "Eukaryotic large subunit ribosomal RNA". It matches the Rfam family "Eukaryotic large subunit ribosomal RNA", at positions 2622 to 2801 of the family's 3401-position model. The record is from Rfam by way of RNAcentral. Lineage: Eukaryota; Metazoa; Chordata; Mammalia; Artiodactyla; Bovidae.
UGAAUGUGGCAGUACACCUGUCAAACAGUAACGCAGGUGUCCUAAGGCAAGCUCAGAGAGGACAGAAACCUCCCAUGGAACAGAAGGGCAGAAGCUCACUUGAUCUUGAUUUUCAGUACGAAUACAGACCGUGAAAGCAGGGCCUCACUAUCCUUUUAAAAAAAAAAAAAAAUUUUAAUUUAAAAA